Molecule: long non-coding RNA, 1917 nt
Organism: Carcharodon carcharias (great white shark)
Lineage: Eukaryota; Metazoa; Chordata; Chondrichthyes; Lamniformes; Lamnidae
Exons: 3
Source: RefSeq, a predicted model, not a curated record
UAUGCUCUCUAUAAUGAAAAUGCCUCAACCCAAUGAGACCAGCCUACUGCUAUAUAGAGGUACUGUACGCCUGGCUUCAAACUGAUCGGAAACUCAUCUCUACAGGCUGCACUUCUAUUAACUCCGUUCCCUUUAUUCAUUCAGGAUUAGUUUUAUUUUCCAUCUAAAAUAAAGAAAAGGCACUCACAACCUUCAGCUCCCUUAUCUGGAAGAAAAUGGACAUACAGUAAUUCAGUCAACGUUUCACUAACAUCUGCGAACACUUACAUCUACAGACGCCGAGCAGUGAAAGGGAACCACAGAAGGCCUUCCAGUUUAUGUUCAAGAUGUUCCAGAACAAAGUGGUCUGCUUAAUUCUUGACUCUGCAACUGAACUCAACAUCCACCACUAUGAGUACAGCAUGUACUACCUAUGGGAGCAACUCACCAAGCUUACUGUGACAGCAUCUUGCAGACUUACAAUCUCAAUCAACAGGAAGGAUAAAUGCAGUUAAUGUGAUGGGGGAACACCAUCAUCUGAAAAUUCCCUUACCCAGUAACACACCAUUCCAACUUAGACAUCGAGCACUACUUUGGGAGCAGGAUCACCACAAAGCCUGCAGUGUUGUCAAGGAAAAGCCCUAGUACCAGUUUAACAGGGCAAUCAAGGAUGUCCAAAGUUCGAAAGGGCUGAUGACAAUAAAGAUAUACAACAUGCCACUGAACAUUAGUCCUGAAUGAAAGCCUUUUUGCCAAUACUUCUUCUUCAAGAGAGGAGGCCACCAGGAAGUUGAAGCUUGGAUUCAUUGCUGCCUGUAUACAAGCAUGGGAGAAGAAGGAGAAGAGUGCGACAGAGGAGGCUGGCUCAUCAAGGGGAGGAGCAAAACCCUCAAGACCAAGGGGCAGCAGACAGAGGACGAGGCAAACAGAAACGCUGUGUGUAGGCACCUCACUAGACCCCGCGUGCACAGAUGUCGCAUGUCUUAUCUGCAGGUGAGCGAGAACCAGUGUCGCUGAUGCCUCUGCAUGUCCAGGCCUCUGGUGACUCACCUUUGCCACAUUUUCCAGGAAUUGGCGCCACGGGGACUGGGAGGACAUCCAUUGCCAGUAGCUCUGAAAGUGACAGCCGCACUCAACUUCAGUGCCAGUGGCUCCUUCCAGGGCUUGAUUGCAGACCUCUGCAGGAUCUCUUAAGUGUCCAUGCACAAAUGCAUACAUGAGGUCACAGACGCCCUUUUAACCAAGGCCCACAAUUACAGCAACUUCGACAGAGAUCAAAUCAAGCAAGCCAGGACGCCAGAACAUUGGGCUUUGCAGAGAUUUCCAGGUUUCCACAGAUGCAGGGAGUCUUCGCCUGCACUCGUGGUUAUCUAAGCUCCCUGGCAAUAAGCACUCCAAUACAUGAACAGGAAAGGCUUCCACUCGCUCAAUGUACAGUUGGUGUGCAACCAUAACAAACCCUGCAAGUUUGUGCCAGGUACCCAGGAGGCAUCCUCGGCACAUACAUCUUGAGUAUAUUGCAGAUCUUGGACAUCUUCAAGGGACUACACAAGAUCCAGGGCUGGCUUCUCAGUGAUAAAGGGCUACCUGCAAAGGAUAUGGCUGAUGACGCCCGUUCGGCAGCCACAGACUCGUGCAGAGACAAGGUACAACGAGGCUCAUGCUGCUAUCUGGACAUUGGUGGAGCACACCAUAGGGAUCCUAAAGAUGCGAUUCUGAUGCCUGGACAGAUCUGGAGGAGCACUCCAGUACAUUCCCCAGGGGAUCUCAUGGAUCAUCGUGGCUUACUGCGUGCUGCAUAAUCUUGUGCUGCAAAGGCUGGGAGGAUAGGAACUUGCCAGAUGCCGACAUGGUGGAGCUACAUGUCUCCUCCAAUAAGGAGGGCCUUGAAGGAGUGGAGGGUGAUGAGGUCAAGGAAGCCAAGGGUGCAGAUGAAGA